UAGUCAUAUGCUUGUCUCAAAGAUUAAGCCAUGCAAGUCUCUGUAUAAGCAAUUAUACUGUGAAACUGCGGAAAGCUCAUUAUAUCAGUUAUAGUUUAUUUGAUGGUAGCCUCACUACAUGGAUAACCGUAGUAAUUCUAGAGCUAAUACAUGCCCAGAAGCAGCGACUUCGGAAGCUGUGGACUUAUUAGAUCAAAGAGCUGACCCUCUUCGGAGGAUUAAGCUGAAUCAUAGUAAUUUCGCUGAUCGCAGCAACCUUUUGGUUGGCGAUAGGUCAUACAAAUUUCUGCCCUAUCAGCUUUGAUGUUAGUGUAGUGGACUAACAUGGCAUAAACGGGUGACGGAGGAUUAGGGUCUGAUUCCGGAGAGGGAGCCUGAGAAAUGGCUACCACUUCCAAGGAAGGCAGCAGGCGCGUAAAUUACCCAAUCCCGACACGGGGAGGUAGUGACAAGAAAUAACAAUACUGGAUCUUUUUAGUUCUGGUAAUUGGAAUGAGUACAACCUAAAACCCUUAACAAGGAACAAUUG
Molecule: ribosomal RNA, 529 nt
Filed under: uncultured eukaryote
Lineage: Eukaryota
Description: bacterial SSU rRNA
Rfam family: Eukaryotic small subunit ribosomal RNA
Source: RNAcentral